GACGAACGCUGGCGGCGUGCUUAACACAUGCAAGUCGAACGGAAAGGCCCUGCUUUUGUGGGGUGCUCGAGUGGCGAACGGGUGAGUAACACGUGAGUAACCUGCCCUUGACUUUGGGAUAACUUCAGGAAACUGGGGCUAAUACCGGAUAGGAGCUCCUGCUGCAUGGUGGGGGUUGGAACGUUUCGGCGGUUGGGGAUGGACUCGCGGCUUAUCAGCUUGUUGGUGGGGUAGUGGCUUACCCAGGCUUUGACGGGUAGCCGGCCUGAGAGGGUGACCGGCCACAUUGGGACUGAGAUACGGCCCAGACUCCUACGGGAGGCAGCAGUGGGGAAUAUUGCACAAUGGGCGGAAGCCUGAUGCAGCAACGCCGCGUGCGGGAUGACGGCCUUCGGGUUGUAAACCGCUUUCGCCUGUGACGAAGCGUGAGUGACGGUAAUGAGUAAAGAAGCACCGGCUAACUACGUG
RNAcentral lists this ribosomal RNA (468 nucleotides) under uncultured bacterium. Its description in RNAcentral is "partial 16S ribosomal RNA". It matches the Rfam family "Bacterial small subunit ribosomal RNA", at positions 28 to 507 of the family's 1533-position model. The record is from RNAcentral.